GUGGGGAAUUUUGGACAAUGGGCGCAAGCCUGAUCCAGCAAUGCCGCGUGCAGGAAGAAGGCCUUCGGGUUGUAAACUGCUUUUGUACGGAACGAAACGGUCCUGGUUAAUACCCGGGGCUAAUGACGGUACCGUAAGAAUAAGCACCGGCUAACUACGUGCCAGCAGCCGCGGUAAUACGUAGGGUGCAAGCGUUAAUCGGAAUUACUGGGCGUAAAGCGUGCGCAGGCGGUGCUGUAAGACAGGCGUGAAAUCCCCGGGCUUAACCUGGGAAUUGCGGUUGGGACUGCAGUGCUGGAGUGCGGCAGAGGGGGAUGGAAUUCCGCGUGUAGCAGUGAAAUGCGUAGAUAUGCGGAGGAACACCGAUGGCGAAGGCAAUCCCCUGGGCCUGCACUGACGCUCAUGCACGAAAGCGUGGGGAGCAAACAGGAUUAGAUACCCUGGUAGUCC
RNAcentral lists this ribosomal RNA (450 nucleotides) under uncultured bacterium. Its description in RNAcentral is "partial 16S ribosomal RNA". It matches the Rfam family "Bacterial small subunit ribosomal RNA", at positions 354 to 796 of the family's 1533-position model. The record is from RNAcentral.